GACGAACGCUGGCGGCGUGCCUAAUACAUGCAAGUCGAACGCAGUGGGGACGGGUGAGUCACACGUGGGUAACCUCCCAUCAGAGGGGAUAACACUUGGAAACAGGUGCUAAACCGAUACUGAUGGAUGGACCCGCGGUGCAUUAGCUAGUUGGUGCGGUAACGGCUCACCAAGGCCACGCUGCAUAGCCGACCUGAGAGGGUGAUCGGCCACACUGGAACUGAGACACGGCCCAGACUCCACCGUGAGGCAGCAGUAGGGAAUCUUCGGCAAUGGACGAAAGUCUGACCGAGCAACGCCGCUUGAGUUAAGAAGGUUUUCGGAUCGUAAAACUCUGUUGUUAGAGAAGCGGUAUCUAACCAGAAAGCCACGGCUAACUACGUGCCAGCAGCCGCGGUAAUAC
RNAcentral lists this ribosomal RNA (403 nucleotides) under uncultured bacterium. Its description in RNAcentral is "partial 16S ribosomal RNA". It matches the Rfam family "Bacterial small subunit ribosomal RNA", at positions 28 to 526 of the family's 1533-position model. The record is from RNAcentral.